UGAGGAACAUGACCUUCGGCGGGGGAUAGCCGGCCCAACGGCCGGGUAAUACCGCGUACGACCAUUUGGGGACAUCCCCGAGUGGUGAAAGCAGCAAUGCGCCGAUGGAGUGCCUCGCGGCCUAUCAGCUAGUUGGUGGGGUAACGGCUCACCAAGGCAACGACGGGUAGCUGGUCUGAGAGGAUGGCCAGCCACAUUGGGACUGAGACACGGCCCAGACUCCUACGGGAGGNAGCG
Molecule: ribosomal RNA, 237 nt
Filed under: uncultured bacterium
Lineage: Bacteria
Description: partial 16S ribosomal RNA
Rfam family: Bacterial small subunit ribosomal RNA
Source: RNAcentral